CUUUUUAGUUCUUUGCUUUCUGCCUUAAGGGUGGUAUCAUCUGCAUAUCUGAGGUUAUUGAUAUUUCUCCGGCAAUCUUGAUUCCAGCUUGUGUUUCAUCCAGCCCAGCAUUUCUCAUGCUGUUCUUUGCAUAUAAGUUAAAUAAGCAGGGUGACAAUAUACAGCCUUGCCAUACUCUUUUCCCGAUUUGGAACCAGUCUGUUCCAUGUCCAGUUCUAACUGUGCUUCCUGACCUGCAUAGAGAUUUCUCAGGAGGCAGAUCAAGUGGUCUGGUAUUCCCAUCUCUCUAAGAAUUUUCCACAGUUUGUUGUGAUCCACACAGUCAAAGGCUUUGGCAUAGUCAAUAAAGCAGAAGUAGAUGUUUUUCUGGGACUCUCUUGCUUUUUCAAUGAUCCAAAGGAUGUUGGAGUUACACUAUAAAUUUUCAUGUAUGGAAUUAUGGAAGACUCACAACAGUUCUGUGAGACACUAUCCCAAUGUCCCCAUCCUGUCAUCUGUCCAAAGGGGAUCCUGCUAUUAAAAAGCUGGCCCUCCUCACGGAACUCUCCCAGAAUCGCAGUGGCGAGAGCUGCAGGCCAUUUGAAGGGUCCGAGUGGCCCCGCCUUCAACAGCAUCUUCCAGAAGGAGAACUUCCAGCUGCAGCUCAUUCCUCCCCUGGUGACUGAGGACUGAAGUCUUUCCUGGGCCUGGAGCCCAGAGACAGGCCAGCAAGGGGAGGGGUCACCUGAGGACCCCAUGCCCCCCAGCCGCAGAGACUCUGGCCCUCCCGAUGUUGUUGCAGCCUGGGCACCAGACUAAUUUUGUUUUGCUUAUUAAGCAAAUGAACACGAUGUACCUGCAUCCAGUUAUUUAAGGAUAUGCAUUUUUGUCUGUUGGACUCUCCCCCAAGAGUGGAGAACAGGCAGAGUUCUGUGGGCAGCAGCCCAGUCCAUGGCCACCCCAGCCCCUCUUCUCCUGCCGGUGGUUAGUAUGGGGUGCCGUUGCCUCCUGCUGCCAGAGGGACAGUGGUCGCUGGGCUGCAGCAUCAAGGAAGCCUGCGCUGGAGGGAGCAAAAGGCUGUGGGGGCCGGGGCACCUCCCUUGCCUCAUGUUUGUGUUGAAGCCCGUUUGAGUGUUAGCAUCUGCCGUCUCUAACAAUAAAUGCCUCCCGUUCAUGCCCUCCCCCA
This 1165-nucleotide long non-coding RNA is filed under the name Bos indicus x Bos taurus (hybrid cattle). Its description in RNAcentral is "lncRNA (ENSBIXG00000021559.1)". The record is from RNAcentral. Lineage: Eukaryota; Metazoa; Chordata; Mammalia; Artiodactyla; Bovidae.